UACGUAGGUGGCAAGCGUUGUUCGGAAUUACUGGGCGUAAAGCGUGCGCAGGCGGUUGUGUAAGACAGAUGUGAAAUCCCCGGGCUCAACCUGGGAACUGCAUUUGUGACUGCACGGCUGGAGUGCGGCAGAGGGGGAUGGAAUUCCGCGUGUAGCAGUGAAAUGCGUAGAUAUGCGGAGGAACACCGAUGGCGAAGGCAAUCCCCUGGGCCUGCGCUGACGCUCAUGCACGAAAGCGUGGGGAGCAAACAGG
Molecule: ribosomal RNA, 253 nt
Filed under: uncultured bacterium
Lineage: Bacteria
Description: partial 16S ribosomal RNA
Rfam family: Bacterial small subunit ribosomal RNA
Source: RNAcentral